UACGGAGGGUGCAAGCGUUAUCCGGAUUCACUGGGUUUAAAGGGUGCGUAGGCGGAUAGGUAAGUCCGUGGUGAAAUCUCCGAGCUUAACUUGGAAACUGCCAUGGAUACUAUAGAUCUUGAAUACUGUGGAGGUUAGCGGAAUAUGUCAUGUAGCGGUGAAAUGCUUAGAUAUGACAUAGAACACCAAUGGCGAAGGCAGCUGGGUAGACAAAUAUUGACACUGAUGCACGAAAGCGUGGGGAUCAAACAGG
This 253-nucleotide ribosomal RNA is filed under the name uncultured bacterium. RNAcentral describes it as "partial 16S ribosomal RNA". It matches the Rfam family "Bacterial small subunit ribosomal RNA", at positions 524 to 776 of the family's 1533-position model. The record is from RNAcentral.